RNAcentral lists this ribosomal RNA (497 nucleotides) under uncultured bacterium. Its description in RNAcentral is "partial 16S ribosomal RNA". It matches the Rfam family "Bacterial small subunit ribosomal RNA", at positions 28 to 507 of the family's 1533-position model. The record is from RNAcentral.
GAUGAACGCUGGCGGCGUGCCUAAUACAUGCAAGUCGAACGCAUAGCGAAAGGUGCUUGCACCUUUCAAGUGAGUGGCGAACGGGUGAGUAACACGUGGACAACCUGCCUCAAGGCUGGGGAUAACAUUUGGAAACAGAUGCUAAUACCGAAUAAAACUUAGUGUCGCAUGACACAAAGUUAAACGGCGCUUCGGCGUCACCUAGAGAUGGAUCCGCGGUGCAUUAGUUAGUUGGUGGGGUAAAGGCCUACCAAGACAAUGAUGCAUAGCCGAGUUGAGAGACUGAUCGGCCACAUUGGGACUGAGACACGGCCCAAACUCCUACGGGAGGCUGCAGUAGGGAAUCUUCCACAAUGGGCGAAAGCCUGAUGGAGCAACGCCGCGUGUGUGAUGAAGGCUUUCGGGUCGUAAAGCACUGUUGUAUGGGAAGAACAGCUAGAAUAGGAAAUGAUUUUAGUUUGACGGUACCAUACCAGAAAGGGACGGCUAAAUACGUG